Molecule: small RNA, 27 nt
Filed under: Bombyx mori (domestic silkworm)
Lineage: Eukaryota; Metazoa; Arthropoda; Insecta; Lepidoptera; Bombycidae
Description: ovarian small RNA-4904
Source: RNAcentral
CGCUGGAUGAGGAUCCGUGGGGGCGGC